RNAcentral lists this long non-coding RNA (216 nucleotides) under Sorghum bicolor (sorghum). RNAcentral's name for it is "long non-coding RNA (SBIC_LNC000857)". The record is from RNAcentral. Lineage: Eukaryota; Viridiplantae; Streptophyta; Magnoliopsida; Poales; Poaceae.
CGUUCAAAUUGCGUCAGAUUCAUAAUCACAUGAAAUUUAUGUUAGUAAACUUGGUUUAAAAAUUUGUAUCAUUUUAAUUUUGUGACCCUAUUUAAUUAAUUACUUUUCUAAAGAAAAUGUUAGAAAAUUCAUAUCUUCUCCGUUUUAGCUUCGAUUCGAUCCGUUCAAGUUGCGUUAGUUUUAUAAUUUCAUAAGCUUUGCGUUGGUACCUUUGUU